RNAcentral lists this ribosomal RNA (1357 nucleotides) under metagenome. RNAcentral describes it as "bacterial SSU rRNA". It matches the Rfam family "Bacterial small subunit ribosomal RNA", at positions 8 to 1321 of the family's 1533-position model. The record is from RNAcentral.
AGAGUUUGAUUCUGGCUCAGAACGAACGCUGGCAGCGUGGAUUAGGCAUGCAUUCGAACGGGAAACUAUGGUUUCAAGUUUUCGGACGAGAGACUGUAGUGGAGAGUGGCGAAAGGGUGAGGAACGCGUGGGUAACCUGCCCCCAAGUUUGGGACAACCCCGGGAAACUGGGGCUAAUACCGAAUGUGGUCUUCCGUCGCAUGACGGAUGGAUUAAAGAUGGGGAUUCUUCGGAACCUGUCUCUUGGAGAGGGGCCCGCGUACCAUCAGCUUGUUGGUGAGGUAAUGGCUCACCAAGGCUUACGGUUAGCCGGCCUGAGAGGGUGACCGGCCACACUGGGACUGAGACACUGCCCAGACUCCUACGGGAGGCUGCAGUCGAGGAUCAUUGUCAAUGUGCGAAAGCGUGAACAUGCGACGCUGCGUGGAGGAUGACGGCCUUCGGGUUGUAAACUCCUGUCAUUCGGGAAAAACUGUUCCGAUGUUAAUAACGUCGGGAAUUGAUGGUACCGAAAGAGGAAGCCACGGCUAACUCUGUGCCAGCAGCCGCGGUAAUACAGAGGUGGCGAGCGUUGUUCGGAUUUACUGGGCGUAAAGCGUGCGUAGGUGGUUUUGUAUGUCGGAUGUGAAAUCCCAUGGCUCAACUGUGGAAUUGCAUCCGAAACUGCGAGGCUGGAGUACAGGAAGGGAGAGCGGAAUUCUUGGUGUAGCGGUGAAAUGCGUUGAUAUCAAGAAGAACACCGGUGGCGAAGGCGGCUCUCUGGAAUGUCACUGACACUGAGGCACGAAAGUCGGGGUAGCAAACAGGAUUAGAUACCCUGGUAGUCCCGACUGUAAACGGUGUGCACUUGGUGUGGAGGGUAUUGACCCCCUCCGUGCCGGAGCUAACGCGUUAAGUGCACCGCCUGGGGAGUACGGCCGCAAGGCUAAAACUCAAAGAAAUUGACGGGGGCCCGCACAAGCGGAGGAGCAUGUGGCUCAAUUCGAUGCAACGCGAAGAACCUUACCAGGGCUUGACAUGCAGCUGCAACUCCGGUGAAAGCCGGAUUCCUUCGAGGGUGCUGCACAGGUGCUGCAUGGCUGUCGUCAGUUCGUGCCGUGAGGUGUUGGGUUAAGUCCCGCAACGAACGCAACCCUUGUGUUUAGUUGCCACCGCAGGUGAUGAGCCUGCGAGCACUCUAGACAGACUGCCCGUACAAGCGGGAGGAAGGUGGGGAUGACGUCAAGUCAGUAUGGCCCUUACGCCCUGGGCUGCACACGUGCUACAAUGACAGGUACAGAAGGAUGCAAUACCGCGAGGUGGAGCAAAUCCCUAAAACCUGCCUCAGUUCGGAUUGGAGUCUGCAAUUCGACUCCAU